This 429-nucleotide ribosomal RNA is filed under the name Chloroflexota bacterium. Its description in RNAcentral is "Chloroflexi bacterium partial 16S ribosomal RNA". It matches the Rfam family "Bacterial small subunit ribosomal RNA", at positions 355 to 776 of the family's 1533-position model. Lineage: Bacteria; Bacillati; Chloroflexota. The record is from RNAcentral.
UGGGGAAUAUUGCACAAUGGGCGCAAGCCUGAUGCAGCCAUGCCGCGUGUAUGAAGAAGGCCUUCGGGUUGUAAAGUGCUUUCAGUCGGGAGGAAGGUGGUAAGGUUAAUAACCUUAUCAAUUGACGUUACCGACAGAAGAAGCACCGGCUAACUCCGUGCCAGCAGCCGCGGUAAUACGGAGGGUGCAAGCGUUAAUCGGAAUUACUGGGCGUAAAGCGCACGCAGGCGGUCUGUCAAGUCGGAUGUGAAAUCCCCGGGCUCAACCUGGGAACUGCAUUCGAAACUGGCAGGCUAGAGUCUUGUAGAGGGGGGUAGAAUUCCAGGUGUAGCGGUGAAAUGCGUAGAGAUCUGGAGGAAUACCGGUGGCGAAGGCGGCCCCCUGGACGAAGACUGACGCUCAGGUGCGAAAGCGUGGGGAGCAAACAGG